UACCGGCAGCUCUAGUGGUAACAAUUUUUAUUGGGCCUAAAGCGUCCGUAGCCGGUUUAAUAAGUCUCUGGUGAAAUCCUGCAGCUUAACUGUGGGAAUUGCUGGAGAUACUAUUAGACUUGAGACUGGGAGAGGUUAGAGGUACUCCCAGGGUAGAGGUGAAAUUCUGUAAUCCUGGGAGGACCGCCUGUUGCGAAGGCGUCUAACUGGAACGGUUCUGACGGUGAGGGACGAAAGUUAGGGGCGCGAACCGG
RNAcentral lists this ribosomal RNA (254 nucleotides) under uncultured Methanobrevibacter sp. RNAcentral's name for it is "partial 16S ribosomal RNA". It matches the Rfam family "Archaeal small subunit ribosomal RNA", at positions 474 to 727 of the family's 1478-position model. Lineage: Archaea; Methanobacteriati; Methanobacteriota; Methanobacteria; Methanobacteriales; Methanobacteriaceae. The record is from RNAcentral.